AUGUGUAUUAGAUUAUAGAUGGUAAGCUCAGUUUCUUUUCUUUUUUCAUCAAAUCUGAAUGAUACCCGGUCCCUAGUGUUUAUUGAUAUUUGUAUAUUUAUAUACAUCCAUUGACUAACUUUGUAUGUAAACUUUAUUAAAUAUGAUAAUGAUAAAAUAUAUGAAUUAAAUGUUGUUCAGUGGUUAAAAGAAUAUGAUAUAAAUGAGCCUGGUGUUAAAGUUACAAUUUCAUAUUUUUAAGUUUAAAAUGUAUUAAAAUAAAGCCCUAAAAUAGAGGGUAUCUAUAAACAGUCCUACCUUGUUAAAGAAUAAUCCUAUUAAUCCUAUAAUUCACUAUUGCCAGUUGAGAAAUUGGCAAAAAUAUCAUUUUCAACAUUAAAUUCAAACGUUUGAAGAUAGCUAUUCCAUGGUGGGGAAUAGGAAAACAAGGGAGGUAAUUGUGUUAUUAUUUCCGGUGUAAAUGAGUUUUAAGUGUGAGAAUGUCACCUAUGAUCGUAUAAUAGUGAGUUGACAACCUAUAGAGCAAAAGACAUAGAAAUAAUUAUGUUUUGACUUUCUUAGAAAAUAUGAAAUUGUAACUUUAACAUAUAUUAUGUUAAUAAAUUCCGAAGUAGUAUAUCCAUAUAAGUGUUUUUAAUUUGUGAAAUCUUAUUCUAUUAUGUCUUAUAAGAAUUAUGAAAUAUACUUGAUAAUAUUUUUAACACUGAACAUUUAAGUCAACGAAAUAAGUAAAUACUCAGACCAAACCCUUGCCCCCUCACUUUAUUUUUACUUAAAGAUACAUUCUGUACGAUUUAGAUAAAGAGCUGACCAUUUUUACUAUAAUGGCUCAAAAAUAGAAAAUAUUGAAAAUUUCAUUCAAAUUACUUCAUUCUGAGCCAAGUUAUCUCUGUUUGUAGUUUUGACCAGAUGUGUGCAUUGUGGUAACCAGGGCACUGGUAUAUUCGAGACUUAGCCUCGCUUUCCCAUUUUUAAAUUAAAUUUGAGUAUCGGACGCCAUCGAAGGUUGAUUAAGGUCUUGUUUUGUUAAUAUGAAGAGCCCAGGGGAAGAACGAACUAAGUCACAUUAUUGUAGUUUCGCAUAAAAUAUGUAAAUUUUUGCGUGGAAUAAGCCGUAAAAAGAUAGAUAUUUCCGAAAAAUGCACAUGACGAUUAGCGACAUUAUUUGAAUGAUGGUUCCAUUGAAUGUAACUACGAGCGUAUGUAAGGGGGUAUGAACUUUAUAUUAAGAGAUUGGACUUGUGACACAGUUACACACUGACAAUAAAAGUUCAAUAGCCAAGACUGUGUAGUAAUAUCGGACUUCUUCGGUAUUCCUCGUUCUCAAUAAAGUAUGGAUGAUAGCUGCUCGGAAUAUCUGGGUGAGAUCUGAUGAAUUUCGCCAAAGACCCUGUUUUAUAACCCACUUAACUAACUUCUGUACAUCAUAGACCGACCUUGAUGUUAAUUUCCUUCCCAAAUAUGAAAUAAACAACCCCAUUCUCCAAAGACCUUAUUUGGUCUACCAAACACACGUCAUAAAUAAGUUUGUAUUUGAUGGAUAUUUUGACAACGGUAAUGAUUUUACCAAAAUAUCACUGUUUUUUUAUAUAUAAAUAUAUCACUCAAUUCAUUACGUACGUGACUGUGAUUUGACUCUAUAUAAUCAGUUAAAGAUACAAUAUGGUCGCAAGGACCAUAGUAUUACAGAGAGAGAGAUAGAGAGAAAUUGGGUUUGACGUCCACUCGACACAAACUAGGUCAUUUCGGGACUAACAUAUGGUUUAAUUUUAUCUCAAUAAUUCGCUUGCGCAUAGGGGUCUUUAGCAGUGGGAGGAAACCGGAGGACCUGGAGAAAACCCACGAGGUUGGACAGGCGACCCUACUCCUUGUCACGUACAACCGGAGAUUCGAAUCCACGCCAGUCGACUCAAUGACAGACUUUAUGAUACAGCGCGCGCACGCUAACCAUUCAGCCACCCCACCUCCCUCCAUAGUAUUACAACUGUGUGACUUAAGACUUGGGCUAUAAUAUAUACAAUUUUAACAACCUGACCUUCAGGGUCAAUAUAUUUAUCUUAACUAACUUGAAUUUUAACAAACAUUCAGCCCAGGGUAAAAUAUCUAUAGCUGAAUAAAUAUCUAGCCAAUUAAAGAUACAUUAGUUAAGAGUUUUAUAAUGAGUUGGCCAUUCUUGCUAUAAUAAUUCAAAAAUAGAUGAUACAAAAGAAAAUGUUGAAAAUGUCAGUCAAAUUACUUUGUUCUAAACGGAAUUGUCACUUUUGGAAGUUUGGACUACAGAGUGAUUUUGAGCUUGUCGUGUAAAUAAAAAGUCUAAUUAAUAAUUUCUAUAACAUCUGAUUAAGCCUAAAUAAAGACUUGCAAUAGGCAGAUUUAACUCUUGCAUAAUAUAUGUUUAAAUUGGGUAGCUUUUUUAAAAAUAAAAGAAAAAUGGAAUGUGUUGUCAGCAUAUUUUUGUUGUACCAAAGGCUAGUCAUGAAAGGGUACACUUUACGUUUCACACAACAUUUUAAAAAUGAAAUUGAAAGUUGUAUACCGAUUUUGGGCUCGAAAUUGAGACUGUACUACUGAUUGUAUUGGGUGGUAUAUUGUCGCCUCCCCUGUCCGUCCAUCGACCCUCCCGUCUUCCACAAUUACCAAUGCACACUCUAGGGGCUAAUGUAUACAGUGUUUAUGGUCAUGCGACGAAAAAUCAUUAUUAUUGAUUUGCAAUGAUUUGAUUAUUGAUUUACUAUGAUUAUUGAUUUACAAUGAUUAUUGAUUUACAUUGAUUAUUUCAUUGCUUGUUAACUCUUGAGUAGAACAUGUACAACUGGCUUUUUUAACAGUCGUAUGGGAUCGCAAGACCACUUAUGUUGCAAUGAAAUGAAAUGAAAUAGGGGUUUAACGUCCUACUGUUCUGCUCCGACUGGGCUAAUGAGGACGGGCAUAACCCAUACAGUGUGCUAUGAGGGAAAUUUUGCCCGGACAGCGGCACUAUGGCCAAGGCAUAUUUUACGUGCACGCCAAUGUAUACAUGGGACCUCGGUCUCUCAGUUGCACCAAACCCAAUCGCACACAGUCGCAUCGCGCAAGGGCGACAUACCGCCCCACUCCCCCACUUUAAUGUCUUAUCAGUGAUUGCUCCCAUCGCCUCCAAAAGAAUAUAUUUACGACAAACUUUUUAGACUGCCCGGGCGAAUUAGCUGCCGUUGAAGUUUUUUUCGUUUCUUAUAUAUGAAAUUUCAUUUAUAACAUUGAAAUUAAAACGAAAUAUUAUCUGAGAUUAAUUUAUUAUAUGAAUGUGUGACUAUGUGGCCCUAAAACAGCAAGGAUUUUAUGUUAAAGAAUUCCAUUUUUGGGGUUACAGUAAAGAGAUGGUAGAUUCCAGUAGAAUAUACACAAUAGAAUUAAAAAUUGGAUCACAUUUUCGUUUCGUUAAAUUUUCUGAAACGAAAUGUUUCUAAACAGGGGCCUGUUUCACGAAAUCUUAACUAAAGAUAAAAUCUAAAUUUUAGUAGAUACUUCAAUUUUGAUUGGCUAAGGACUAAAAUCAAUUUAAUAUUAUCCAAUCAAAUUACUAAAAUUUCGUGAAACAGGCCCCAGAAAGGUAAUUGACAUCUGAUUUUAAUAAGAUUGAUAUUUAGCUGGUGUAUAUUUAUUAUUUGAAUUUGGGUGCAUAUAAUAACACCAUGUGGUGUCUAGAAUCAUUUAUAAUACAUGAUCAUUACUGUUAUAUUAAAAAUUCAUGCAUACGA
Molecule: long non-coding RNA, 3737 nt
Organism: Patella vulgata (common limpet)
Lineage: Eukaryota; Metazoa; Mollusca; Gastropoda; Patellidae
Exons: 2
Source: RefSeq, a predicted model, not a curated record